CGUAAAGCGCAUGCAGGUGGUUUGUUAAGUCAGAUGUGAAAGACCCGGGGCGUCAACCUCGGAAUUGCAUUUGUAAACUAGGCAAACUAGAGUACUGUAGAGGGGGGUAGGAAUUUCAGGUGUAGCGGUGAAAUAGCGUAGAGAUCUGAAGGAAUACCGGUGGCGAAGGCGGCCCCCUCGGACAGAUACUGACACUCAGAUGCGAAAGCGUGGGGAGCAAACAGGAUUAGAUACCCUGGUAG
RNAcentral lists this ribosomal RNA (242 nucleotides) under uncultured bacterium. RNAcentral describes it as "partial 16S ribosomal RNA". It matches the Rfam family "Bacterial small subunit ribosomal RNA", at positions 559 to 793 of the family's 1533-position model. The record is from RNAcentral.